AGGAUGAACGCUGGCGGUGUGCUUAAUACAUGCAAGUCGAGCGGAAAGGCCCUUCGGGGUACUCGAGCGGCGAACGGGUGAGUAACACGUGAGUAAUCUGCCCCUAGCUCUGGGAUAGCUCCGGGAAACCGGGAUUAAUACCGGAUACGACCACUUUAGACAUCUGUUGUGGUGGAAAGAAUUUUGGCUAGGGAUGAGCUCGCGGCCUAUCAGCUUGUUGGUGGGUAAUGGCCUACCAAGGCGACGACGGGUA
RNAcentral lists this ribosomal RNA (253 nucleotides) under uncultured bacterium. RNAcentral describes it as "partial small subunit ribosomal RNA". It matches the Rfam family "Bacterial small subunit ribosomal RNA", at positions 26 to 285 of the family's 1533-position model. The record is from RNAcentral.